AGAGUUUGAUCCUGGCUCAGAUUGAACGCUGGCGGAAUGCUUUACACAUGCAAGUCGAACGGCAGCACGGGGGCAACCCUGGUGGCGAGUGGCGAACGGGUGAGUAAUACAUCGGAACGCGCCCAGUCGUGGGGGAUAACGUAGCGAAAGCUACGCUAAUACCGCAUACGAACUCUGGUUGAAAGCGGGGGAUCGCAAGACCUCGCGCGAUUGGAGCGGCCGAUGGCAGAUUAGGUAGUUGGUGGGGUAAAGGCUCACCAAGCCGACGAUCUGUAGCUGGUCUGAGAGGACGACCAGCCACACUGGGACUGAGACACGGCCCAGACUCCUACGGGAGGCAGCAGUGGGGAAUUUUGGACAAUGGGCGCAAGCCUGAUCCAGCCAUUCCGCGUGCAGGAUGAAGGCCCUCGGGUUGUAAACUGCUUUUGUACGGAACGAAAAGGCCUGGGUUAAUACCUCGGGCUCAUGACGGUACCG
Molecule: ribosomal RNA, 477 nt
Filed under: uncultured Comamonadaceae bacterium
Lineage: Bacteria; Pseudomonadati; Pseudomonadota; Betaproteobacteria; Burkholderiales; Comamonadaceae
Description: bacterial SSU rRNA
Rfam family: Bacterial small subunit ribosomal RNA
Source: RNAcentral